RNAcentral lists this ribosomal RNA (393 nucleotides) under uncultured Alphaproteobacteria bacterium. Its description in RNAcentral is "bacterial SSU rRNA". It matches the Rfam family "Bacterial small subunit ribosomal RNA", at positions 9 to 429 of the family's 1533-position model. The record is from RNAcentral. Lineage: Bacteria; Pseudomonadati; Pseudomonadota; Alphaproteobacteria.
GAGUUUGAUCAUGGCUCAGAAUGAACGCUGGCGGCAUGCCUAACACAUGCAAGUCGAACGAACCCUUCGGGGUGAGUGGCGCACGGGUGCGUAACGCGUGGGAACCUACCAUCAGGUUCGGAAUAACAGUUAGAAAUGACUGCUAAUACCGGAUAAUGUCUUCGGACCAAAGAUUUAUCGCCUUUUGAUGGGCCCGCGUUAGAUUAGCUAGUUGGUGAGGUAACUGCUCACCAAGGCGACGAUCUAUAGCUGGUCUGAGAGGAUGAUCAGCCACACUGGGACUGAGACACGGUCCAGACUCCUACGGGAGGCAGCAGUGGGGAAUUUUCUGCAAUGGGCGAAAGCCUGACAGAGCAAUACCGCGUGAGGGAAGAAAGCCCACAGGGUUGUAAA